UAAUCGUGGAUCAGAAUGCCAUGGUGAAUACGUUCCCGGGCCUUGUACACACCGCCCGUCACACCAUGGGAGUGGGUUGCAAAAGAAGUAGGUAGCUUAACCUUCGGGAGGGCGCUUACCACUUUGUGAUUCAUGACUGGGGUGAAGUCGUAACAAGGUAACCGUAGGGGAACCUGCGGUUGGAUCACCUCCUUACCUUAAAGAA
This 205-nucleotide ribosomal RNA is filed under the name Escherichia coli. RNAcentral describes it as "partial 16S ribosomal RNA". It matches the Rfam family "Bacterial small subunit ribosomal RNA", at positions 1339 to 1533 of the family's 1533-position model. Lineage: Bacteria; Pseudomonadati; Pseudomonadota; Gammaproteobacteria; Enterobacterales; Enterobacteriaceae. The record is from RNAcentral.